This 253-nucleotide ribosomal RNA is filed under the name uncultured Sphingomonas sp. RNAcentral describes it as "partial 16S ribosomal RNA". It matches the Rfam family "Bacterial small subunit ribosomal RNA", at positions 524 to 776 of the family's 1533-position model. The record is from RNAcentral. Lineage: Bacteria; Pseudomonadati; Pseudomonadota; Alphaproteobacteria; Sphingomonadales; Sphingomonadaceae.
UACGGAGGGGGCUAGCGUUGUUCGGAAUUACUGGGCGUAAAGCGCGCGUAGGCGGCUUUGUAAGUUAGAGGUGAAAGCCUGGGGCUCAACUCCAGAAUUGCCUUUAAGACUGCAUCGCUUGAACGUCGGAGAGGUGAGUGGAAUUCCGAGUGUAGAGGUGAAAUUCGUAGAUAUUCGGAAGAACACCAGUGGCGAAGGCGGCUCACUGGACGACUGUUGACGCUGAGGUGCGAAAGCGUGGGGAGCAAACAGG